RNAcentral lists this ribosomal RNA (266 nucleotides) under uncultured archaeon. RNAcentral's name for it is "partial 16S ribosomal RNA". It matches the Rfam family "Archaeal small subunit ribosomal RNA", at positions 716 to 982 of the family's 1478-position model. The record is from RNAcentral.
AGUCACUGACAUUAGAUACCCGCGUAGUCCAGGGUGUAAACGCUGCAGACUUGGUGUUGGAGGCCCUUUGGGGGCAUUCAGUGCCGGAGAGAAGUUGUUAAGUCUGCUACUUGGGGAGUACGUCCGCAAGGAUGAAACUCAAAGGAAUUGGCGGGGGAGCACCGCAACGGGAGGAGCGUGCGGUUUAAUUUGGAUUCAACACCGUAAAACUCACCAGGGAAGACUGUUACAUGAAGGCCGAGAUGAAGACUCUGCUAGAUUUUCAG